GAAAGUAAAGAAGGGCGCAUGGCGGAUGCCUUGGCUCUCGGAGGCGAUGAAGGACGUGAUAAGCUGCGAUAAGCUUUGGGGAGGUGCAAAUGACCUUUGAUCCAGAGAUUUCCGAAUGGGACAACCCAAUAUCUUGAAGAGGUAUUAUCCAACGUUGUUGGAGGCUAACGCAGGGAACUGAAACAUCUUAGUACCUGCAGGAAAAGAAAAUAAACAAUGAUUCCCCCAGUAGUGGCGAGCGAACGGGGAACAGCCCAAACCAUCCAUGUUACGGCAUGGGUGGGGUUGUAGGACUACGCCGUUGCAUGAAGACAUCAGAGAAGAACUUUCUGGAAAGAAAGACCAUAGAGCAUGACAGUUGCGUAUUCGAAUGUUGUCGAAGCAUAGUAGUAUCCUGAGUAGCGCGGAGCACGAGGAAUUCUGCGUGAAUCUGCCGGGACCAUCCGGUAAGGCUAAAUACUCCCGAGAGACCGAUAGCGAACCAGUACCGUGAGGGAAAGGUGAAAAGCACUUCGAACAGAAGAGUGAAAUAGUUCCUGAAACCGUGCGCCUACAAGCGGUCGGAGCUCGUUAAUGAGUGACGGCGUGCCUUUUGCAUAAUGAACCUACGAGUUGCCUUUGCCGGCAAGGUUAAGUGUGACGACACACGUAUCCGAAGCGAAAGCGAGUCUGAACAGGGCGUAUAGUCGGCAGUGGCAGACGCGAAACCAAGUGAUCUACCCUUGGCCAGGUUGAAGGCUGGGUAACACCAGCUGGAGGACCGCACCAAUAAGCGUUGAAAAGCUUCUGGAUGAGCUGAGGGUAGGGGUGAAAGGCUAAUCAAACUUGGAGAUAGCUCGUACUCCCCGAAAUGCAUUUAGGUGCAGCCUUGCGGGUUACUGAUGUGAGGUAGAGCGACUGAUAAGAUGCGAGGGCUUCACCGCCUAUCAAGUCUUGACAAACUCCGAAUGCGCAUCAGUUCUACCGCAGGAGUGAGGGCAUGGGUGCUAAGGUCCGUGCCCGAGAGGAGAAGAAUCCGGACCACCUGCUAAGGUCCCGAAAUGACAGCUAAGUUAAACUAACGAAGUCUGACUGCUAAGACAGCUAGGAUGUUGGCUUGGAAGCAGCCAUUCAUUUAAAGAGUGCGUAACAGCUCACUAGUCGAGGAGUCGGGCGUGGAUAAUAAUCGGGUAUCAAGUUGUCUACCGAAGCAGUGGGAUCAUUUAUAUGAUCGGUAGGGGAGCAUUCCAGUCAGCGUCGAAGGCGUACCGUGAGGUAUUCUGGAGCGUCUGGAAAAGCAAAUGUAGGUAUAAGUAACGAUAAAGGGGGCGGGAAACCCCCUCGCCGAAAGACUAAGGUUUCCUGAUCAACGCUAAUCGGAUCAGGGUCAGUCGGGUCCUAAGGCUCAGCCGAACGGCGAUGCCGAUGGCAGAAACGGUUAAUAUUCCGUUACUACCUUCAGGAGUGACGUGGAGACGCAGUAGUGACAGUGCCGCCAUCUGACGGAAUAGAUGGUUGAAGGGUGUAGGAGUCGAUCAUGGCAGGCAAAUCCACCAUGAGAUCCGAACCUGACAGUAUGCCGCGUCCUUCGGGACAAGGCAAUAGUGCGCGUAAGCAUGCUGCCGAGAAAAUCCGCUAAACUUAAUCCUGCAGGUACCCGUACCGCAAACGGACACACGUAGUCGGGAUGAAUAUUCUAAGGCGCUUGAGUGAUUCACGGUUAAGGAACUAGGCAAACUGACCCUGUAACUUCGGGAUAAAGGGUCCCUACCCUUUUAUGGGAGGGCGCAGAGAAUCGGUCCAGGCAACUGUUUAACAAAAACACAGGGCUGUGCCAAAUCGAAAGAUCCAGUAUACAGCCUGACACCUGCCCGGUGCUGGAAGGUUAAGAGGAGAUGUCAUCGAUAAGAGAAGCGUUGAAUUGAAGCCCCAGUAAACGGCGGCCGUAACUAUAACGGUCCUAAGGUAGCGAAAUUCCUUGUCGGGUAAGUUC
Molecule: ribosomal RNA, 1972 nt
Filed under: human gut metagenome
Description: bacterial LSU rRNA
Rfam family: Bacterial large subunit ribosomal RNA
Source: RNAcentral